RNAcentral lists this ribosomal RNA (255 nucleotides) under uncultured bacterium. RNAcentral describes it as "partial 16S ribosomal RNA". It matches the Rfam family "Bacterial small subunit ribosomal RNA", at positions 524 to 777 of the family's 1533-position model. The record is from RNAcentral.
UACAGAGGUGGCAAGCGUUGUUCGGAAUUACUGGGCGUAAAGGGCGCGUAGGCGGCCUUCUAAGUCAGACGUGAAAUCCCCCGGCUUAACCUGGGAACUGCGUCUGAUACUGGGAGGCUUGAGUAUGGGAGAGGGAUGUAGAAUUCCAGGUGUAGCGGUGAAAUGCGUAGAUAUCUGGAGGAAUACCGGUGGCGAAGGCGGCAUCCUGGACCAUAACUGACGCUGAGGCGCGAAAAGCUAGGGGAGCAAACGGGG